RNAcentral lists this long non-coding RNA (486 nucleotides) under Suricata suricatta (meerkat). RNAcentral describes it as "lncRNA (ENSSSUG00005000377.1)". Lineage: Eukaryota; Metazoa; Chordata; Mammalia; Carnivora; Herpestidae. The record is from RNAcentral.
AGUAAUGCAGCUCCACCAUGGCCAACCCUUUCUCUGCUUUCCCACCAGGCCAAGCCAAGGACCAGUUAGAGUCUAACUGUAUCUUUAACUUUUAAAAUUUGGCCUAUCCUGCUUGUGAUCAUUCCACUUGAGACCAGUAUAACACAGUUGCUUGGACCACCUAUUUCACAUGUGCAGUUCAUCAAAGGUAUGCAGAGGAAAGCAUACUUGUCACCUGGCCAUGCACCUUGGCCAGUUUGGACAAUGAUCCUGAGUCUCCAUAAAUAUGCAAGAGAGAUUAAUAGGAGAGCUUUCAACAAGUAUUGGAAGAAACAAGAUGUUGAAAUGGCACCAAAGAGAACGUUGCUUUGUCCUAGAAUUGCCGUGAGUGUGGAGACAGACUGUGAAGAAGAGAUGCCACCUUGGGUUGAGAUUCAUCUCACCUGCACCUUUUCCAGGAGGCGGACCCGAGAGGGAGGAAGCGACACGAGAGCACUCUCCCUGUAA